This 500-nucleotide ribosomal RNA is filed under the name uncultured bacterium. RNAcentral describes it as "partial 16S ribosomal RNA". It matches the Rfam family "Bacterial small subunit ribosomal RNA", at positions 30 to 523 of the family's 1533-position model. The record is from RNAcentral.
AUUGAACGCUGGCGGCAUGCCUUACACAUGCAAGUCGGACGGCAGCGGGGACUUCGGUCCGCCGGCGAGUGGCGAACGGGUGAGUAAUGUAUCGGAACGUACCAUUGAGUGGGGGAUAACGUAGCGAAAGUUACGCUAAUACCGCAUAUUCUCUCCGGAGGAAAGCAGGGGACCGCAAGGCCUUGCGCUCUUUGAGCGGCCGAUAUCAGAUUAGCUAGUUGGUGAGGUAAAGGCGCAACAAGGCGACGAUCUGUAGCGGGUCUUAGAGGAUGAUCCGCCACACUGGAACUGAGACACGGUCCAGACUCCUACGGGAGGCAGCAGUGGGGAAUUUUGGACAAUGGGGGCAACCCUGAUCCAGCCAUGCCGCGUGAGUGAAGAAGGCCUUCGGGUUGUAAAGCUCUUUCGGCCGGGAAAAAAUCGCAUGGGCUAAUAUCCUGUGUGGAUGAUGGUACCGGAAUAAGAAGCACCGGCUAACUACGUGCCAGCAGCCGCGGUAA